UAGAGCUUUCUGUUUAUAUGCAAAGCCAAUCGUUUGUGCUGCCACUCGGUGGCCCCCACCGCCACUGCCGCUUUGCAGCGCGGUUCGUUGGCAGCUGUUGCGCUCUGGGAGGGGAGAGCCGUGCGUUUUCACCGUGCGCCACAACUGCCAGUUUUGCACGGCUCAUAGGAACACCCCAGGGCAGGGGGAGCGCCCACGGCCGUUAGCCCGACUCUGCGGGAUCCCGCUCCCCCAGCAAACGGAACGGCGAAUGGCGUGACGCUCACCGGGGGGAAGGAAGUCUGCGUCGAUCUCCAGGGGAUACAGCUGGCCACGUGCAAAAGAAAAACAAAAAAAAUCCCUUAAAGGCCCCCGGACUGCACCUGUGAAAAGCCGCCGCUGGCGCUGAGCCCAGCCUGACGCCCCACGUUGCGUGGACGGAGCGACGUGCCCAGUGCGCGGUUUGGAGAAACUAUUUUCCAGCCCUGUUUAUUUAAGGCAACCCCCUCCCGUCUCCUCCACCCUCCGGUGUCCCUGUCCCCGUGGUCCCUGCGAUGGGGAAGGGACCUGUCAAAGCCACUGUCAGUCCUUACAGAUACAAUAAAGUCCAGUGUUU
This is a long non-coding RNA of Pelodiscus sinensis (Chinese soft-shelled turtle), 595 nucleotides long. RefSeq lists it as uncharacterized. Lineage: Eukaryota; Metazoa; Chordata; Testudines; Trionychidae. The record is from RefSeq and is a predicted model, not a curated record.